This 344-nucleotide long non-coding RNA is filed under the name Salvia miltiorrhiza (redroot sage). Its description in RNAcentral is "long non-coding RNA (SMIL_LNC000261)". Lineage: Eukaryota; Viridiplantae; Streptophyta; Magnoliopsida; Lamiales; Lamiaceae. The record is from RNAcentral.
CACUACUAGAAAAAUGCUCAUAGAUAACGGAUUUUAUCCGUUAUCUAUGAGCAAAAAAACUGUUGUGUAUAGUGGUGUUAUCUAUACUAUACGUCAUACACAACGGUUUCAAAACCGUUAUGUAUAGUAGCAUAGAUAACGGUACGAUGCGUCAUACAUAACAGUACGCAUCCGUUAUCUAUAAAGGUUAUACAUAACGGUUUUUCACCGUUAUGUAUUAAGAUUUUUCCGUUAUGUAUUAAUUUUUUUUUUUUUUUUUUUUUUUUUAUCAUAGUUAACAGUUUUUUGCACUUUUUAUAACGGUUUUAACCGUUAUCUUUGAUAGAAUACAUAACGGUUUUCAC